UACGUAGGGCGCAAGCGUUGUCCGGAAUUAUUGGGCGUAAAGAGCUCGUAGGCGGUCUGUCGCGUCGGCUGUGAAAACCCGGAGCUCAACUCCGGGCCUGCAGUCGAUACGGGCAGACUGGAGUUCGGCAGGGGAGACUGGAAUUCCUGGUGUAGCGGUGAAAUGCGCAGAUAUCAGGAGGAACACCGGUGACGAAGGCGGGUCUCUGGGCCGAUACUGACGCUGAGGAGCGAAAGCGUGGGGAGCGAACAGG
This 253-nucleotide ribosomal RNA is filed under the name uncultured bacterium. Its description in RNAcentral is "partial 16S ribosomal RNA". It matches the Rfam family "Bacterial small subunit ribosomal RNA", at positions 524 to 776 of the family's 1533-position model. The record is from RNAcentral.